Molecule: small RNA, 334 nt
Filed under: Pan troglodytes (chimpanzee)
Lineage: Eukaryota; Metazoa; Chordata; Mammalia; Primates; Hominidae
Description: processed transcript
Source: RNAcentral
CUGUUAUCUUGGGCACGAACAAUGCACCGGUAGGCUGGUGAUCGGUGGCGGGAAGACUACUCCCGGGACAUUGGGUACUAAGUGGUGGCCGCUGCCGCCUUCUCUGCUGCUCGCUCCCGCCUUCCUCUGCUGGCCCUGGCUCCCUCUGCUCCCGUUUCCACUCCGGGCACUCAACUCUCCCUCUGGCGUGGAUCCCUUCCCCCGUUCUCACUUUCUGCUCCCCUUAGGGUUCCCUGGAUCCUAGACCACGAUCCUUCCGUCCGGGCUGGGAAGCAGCCACAAAUUGAGCCCAGGUCACCCCUAUCAGAACCGGACGCCCCCCAAGAAGAAGAAG